RNAcentral lists this long non-coding RNA (196 nucleotides) under Mus spicilegus (steppe mouse). RNAcentral's name for it is "lncRNA (ENSMSIG00000014890.1)". Lineage: Eukaryota; Metazoa; Chordata; Mammalia; Rodentia; Muridae. The record is from RNAcentral.
AUGCUCAUCUGUUGCUGUCCUCUGACCCAUCUCCCAGAUGACUCACUGACUGAAGCUUUUCCUUCCUCCUGCAGUAUGCUAAGGCAAAGCCACGCUUGGCAGGGAACUCUUGUCAAAAGACUUAACAAGCUUCACACUGAAUUACCAAAGGCAACUUCUUUGUUUAUGAUCUUUCCUUCAAGGAAAUCAACACGCA